This 282-nucleotide unclassified non-coding RNA is filed under the name uncultured fungus. RNAcentral describes it as "sequence contains ITS1". The record is from RNAcentral. Lineage: Eukaryota; Fungi.
GUAUAUUUCAAAUUUAUAUUUUCCAACAUUCUAAACAUAUGAGGUUUGUGAAAAAUGACAUAGACCCUAGAGAUGCAAGGCAAAGCUGACUUUUUACAGCAACAGCAAUCCUGACUCGGAUUUUCAGAAAAUCCAUAAAAGUUCCAGGGUCUACAAAAGGUGCACAGUGUUGGAGAAAUAACAAAGAUGAGACAAGCGUGCACAUAAUCCCCCAGAGGAGACCAGCAACAACCUGUUCAAGUUUAUUCGAUAAUGAUCCUUCCGCAGGUUCACCUACGGAAA